GACGAACGCUGGCGGCGUGCUUAACACAUGCAAGUCGAACGAAGAGCGAUGGAAGCUUGCCUCUAUCAAUCUUAGUGGCGAACGGGUGAGUAACGCGUAAUCAACCUGCCCUUCAGAGGGGGACAACAGUUGGAAACGACUGCUAAUACCGCAUACGAUCUAAUCUCGGCAUCGAGGAAAGAUGAAAGGUGGCCUCUAUUUAUAAGCUAUCACUGAAGGAGGGGAUUGCGUCUGAUGAGCUAGUUGGAGGGGUAACGGCCCACCAAGGCGAUGAUCAGUAGCCGGUCUGAGAGGAUGGACGGCCCCAUUGGGACUGAGACACGGCCCAGACUCCUACGGGAGGCAGCAGUGGUGAAUCUUCCGCAAUGGACGAAAGUCUGACGGAGCAACGCCGCGUGAGUGAUGACGGCCUUCGGGCUGUAAAGCUCUGUUAAUCGGGACGAAAGGCCUUCUUGCGAACAGUUAGAAGGAUUGACGGUACCGGAAUAGAAAGCCACGGCUAACUACGUG
This 510-nucleotide ribosomal RNA is filed under the name uncultured bacterium. Its description in RNAcentral is "partial 16S ribosomal RNA". It matches the Rfam family "Bacterial small subunit ribosomal RNA", at positions 28 to 507 of the family's 1533-position model. The record is from RNAcentral.